Molecule: long non-coding RNA, 794 nt
Organism: Pseudophryne corroboree (corroboree frog)
Lineage: Eukaryota; Metazoa; Chordata; Amphibia; Anura; Myobatrachidae
Exons: 4
Source: RefSeq, a predicted model, not a curated record
CGUGUUAUCCAAACAAACCGUGGCUGUUGACCCCAUUGUCUAAUCCUGUUGGUAGAGCAGAAAAACGUUACCAAGAGACACACAUUGCAUCGAGGGGAGUAAUUGAGCGUGCCUUCGGUGUACUUAAAAGCCGGUUUCGAUGUUUAGACACUUCCGGCGGUGCUCUUUUGUACUCACCGUCGAAGGUUUGCGGCAUGGUAAAUGCAUGUUGUAUUUUACACAACAUAUGUGUCGCAAACCGUUUGCCGGUGACUCUUCGUCGCAGUGCUUUCCGACGCGGGAACCGGUCUUCUGCUCUACCGGUGGGUAUGGACGAAGGAGAGGAUUCCCGGCGGACAUUGAUCCAAAAUUAUUUUGCAGUUGCCUAGUUUUACAUCCUGUUGAUGUAUAUCCCCAGGCCAUGUUUGUACAGUUCGUUACCCCGUUUUAUCCUGUUGUUGGGUUCCCGCAAAUAUUUGAUCCUUUUAUCCAACUCUACCAUGGGUGAACCUACUGGUGAUGUGGACCUGACCCUCCGCCAUGUAGCAGACAACCCCCCUCAGGUCCUGCGAUGUAUCUUCCCAAGUGGCGUGGAUGUGAGGAGACACGACAUUUCACCUGAUGUUCCAUGGGUGACCCUACUGGUGAUGUGGACCUGACCCUCCGCCAUGUAGCAGACAACCCCCCUCAGGUCCUGCGAUGUAUCUUCCCAAGUGGCGUGGAUGUGAGGAGACACGACAUUUCACCUGAUGUUCCAUGGGUGACCCUACUGGUGAAGUGGACCUGACCCUCCGCAAUGUAGCAGACAACCCCCC